GAGUUUGAUCCUGGCUCAGGAUGAACGCUGGCGGCGUGCUUAACACAUGCAAGUCGAGCGAAGCGCUCACGCGGAAUUUUUCGGAAGGAAGCGGGAGUGACUUAGCGGCGGACGGGUGAGUAACGCGUGGGUAACCUGCCCCAUACCGGGGGAUAACGGUUAGAAAUGACCGCUAAUACCGCGUAAGCGCGCGAGGCCGCAUGGCCCCGGGCGAAAAACUCCGGUGGUAUGGGAUGGGCCCGCGUCUGAUUAGCUAGUUGGCGGGGUAAAGGCCCACCAAGGCGACGAUCAGUAGCCGACCUGAGAGGGUGGCCGGCCACAUUGGGACUGAGACACGGCCCAAACUCCUACGGGAGGCAGCAGUGGGGAAUAUUGCGCAAUGGGGGAAACCCUGACGCAGCAACGCCGCGUGAGUGAAGAAGUAUCUCGGUAUGUAAAGCUCUAUCAGCGGGGAAGAAGGAAGGCGGUACCCGACUAAGAAGCCCCGGCUAACUACGUGCCAGCAGCCGCGGUAAUACGUAGGGGGCGAGCGUUAUCCGGAUUUACUGGGUGUAAAGGGAGCGUAGACGGCGUCGCAAGUCUGAAGUGAAAGCCCGUGGCUCAACCGCGGAACCGCUUUGGAAACUGCGAGGCUGGAGUGCUGGAGAGGUAAGCGGAAUUCCUGGUGUAGCGGUGAAAUGCGUAGAUAUCAGGAGGAACACCGGUGGCGAAGGCGGCUUACUGGACAGUGACUG
Molecule: ribosomal RNA, 734 nt
Filed under: uncultured bacterium
Lineage: Bacteria
Description: bacterial SSU rRNA
Rfam family: Bacterial small subunit ribosomal RNA
Source: RNAcentral